Molecule: unclassified non-coding RNA, 433 nt
Filed under: Hevea brasiliensis (rubber tree)
Lineage: Eukaryota; Viridiplantae; Streptophyta; Magnoliopsida; Malpighiales; Euphorbiaceae
Source: RNAcentral
GAAAAUAAAAUAACUUCAAGAAGCACAUAUAUAUUUAAAAACAAGGCAUCAGAAGCAUAAAUGAACUAGCUCAAUCAAUCAGCAAAUAGAGUAUGAUGUAAUACCGCAGAGGAUCAAGAAAUGUUGAUAGAAACUACUCCUUGCAGCAGAACACCACAUUCAUCACCCUUUUCUACUCUGAUCAUAGCAAGCCUCUCAGCUGGAGAAUCAACUUCACAUAAUCCACUGGUCAUCUACAAAUGGUUGGAUGAGAAUUAUACUUCAUCAUUCUGGUUAAAGGGUUGUCUCUAUCUCUACCUGUCCCAAGAAUAAACGGUGGCUUUGGAGGUGCCGACAUCGGCGAGGAAUUGCAGAGGAGGAGAACGUUGGACUCCGUCGGUGGCGGAACAGGAUCCGACGAGACGACUAACCUGUUGAAUAGACAACUGGGCCG